GGAAGUAAAAGUCGAAACAAGGUUUCCGUAGGUGAACCUGCGGAAGGAUCAUUCAUAAUAAAGUGUUUUAUGGCACUUUUUAAAAAUCCAUAUCCACCUUGUGUGCAAUGUUAGAUCUCGUCAAUCUUGGCGAGAUUUUUAUACAUCAACUCAUUCUUUAACUAAUUUGUCUGAAAAAUAUUAUGAAUACUUAAUUCAAAAUACAACUUUCAACAACGGAUCUCUUGGCUCUC
Molecule: unclassified non-coding RNA, 233 nt
Filed under: plant metagenome
Description: partial contains small subunit ribosomal RNA, internal transcribed spacer 1, and 5.8S ribosomal RNA
Rfam family: Eukaryotic small subunit ribosomal RNA (bases 1-54)
Source: RNAcentral